GAUGAACGCUGGCGGCGUGCCUAAUACAUGCAAGUCGAACGAACAGAUCAUGAGCUUGCGGCGUUCACGUGAGGGGCGGGCGGGUGAGUUACACGUGUAUCCCGUACCUAUAAUUCGGAUAUAAUCAGGGGAAAGGGGCUCUAAUAGCGUAUAACAUAUUGCACCGCAGGGGGGGAUGGAAAGAUUCGGCGGUGCGGGCAGGUAUCGAUGCAUCUGGGCCGUAUUAGCUGGUUGUUGAGGUAACGGCCUUCCAAGGCAACCAUGCGUAGCCGAGCGGAGAGGGUGAUAGCCGACCUGGGAACUGAGACACGGUCAAGACGACUACGGGAGGCAGCAGUAGGGAAUCGUCCGCAAUGGGCGAAAGUCUGACGGAGCAACGCCGCGUGAGUGAUGACGGUCUUCGGAUCGUAAAAAUCUGUUAUCAGGGAAGAACCAAUGUGGAAGUAACUGUGCACAUCUUGACGGUACUUGAUAAGAAAGCCACGGCUAACUACGUG
RNAcentral lists this ribosomal RNA (497 nucleotides) under uncultured bacterium. Its description in RNAcentral is "partial 16S ribosomal RNA". It matches the Rfam family "Bacterial small subunit ribosomal RNA", at positions 28 to 507 of the family's 1533-position model. The record is from RNAcentral.